UACGUAGGGGGCAAGCGUUGUCCGGAAUUAUUGGGCGUAAAGCGCGCGCAGGCGGUGAUUUAAGUCUGAUGUGAAAGCCCACGGCUCAACCGUGGAGGGUCAUUGGAAACUGGGUCACUUGAGUGCAGGAGAGGGGAGUGGAAUUCCACGUGUAGCGGUGAAAUGCGUAGAUAUGUGGAGGAACACCAGUGGCGAAGGCGACUCUCUGGCCUGUAACUGACGCUGAGGCGCGAAAGCGUGGGGAGCAAACAGG
RNAcentral lists this ribosomal RNA (253 nucleotides) under uncultured bacterium. RNAcentral describes it as "partial 16S ribosomal RNA". It matches the Rfam family "Bacterial small subunit ribosomal RNA", at positions 524 to 776 of the family's 1533-position model. The record is from RNAcentral.